RNAcentral lists this ribosomal RNA (1486 nucleotides) under human gut metagenome. RNAcentral's name for it is "bacterial SSU rRNA". It matches the Rfam family "Bacterial small subunit ribosomal RNA". The record is from RNAcentral.
AGAGUUUGAUUCUGGCUCAGAACGAACGCUGGCGGCGUGGAUAAGACAUGCAAGUCGAACGAGAGAAUUGCUAGCUUGCUAAUAAUUCUCUAGUGGCGCACGGGUGAGUAACACGUGAGUAACCUGCCCCCGAGAGCGGGAUAGCCCUGGGAAACUGGGAUUAAUACCGCAUAGUAUCGAAAGAUUAAAGCAGCAAUGCGCUUGGGGAUGGGCUCGCGGCCUAUUAGUUAGUUGGUGAGGUAACGGCUCACCAAGGCGAUGACGGGUAGCCGGUCUGAGAGGAUGUCCGGCCACACUGGAACUGAGACACGGUCCAGACACCUACGGGUGGCAGCAGUCGAGAAUCAUUCACAAUGGGGGAAACCCUGAUGGUGCGACGCCGCGUGGGGGAAUGAAGGUCUUCGGAUUGUAAACCCCUGUCAUGUGGGAGCAAAUUAAAAAGAUAGUACCACAAGAGGAAGAGACGGCUAACUCUGUGCCAGCAGCCGCGGUAAUACAGAGGUCUCAAGCGUUGUUCGGAAUCACUGGGCGUAAAGCGUGCGUAGGCUGUUUCGUAAGUCGUGUGUGAAAGGCGCGGGCUCAACCCGCGGACGGCACAUGAUACUGCGAGACUAGAGUAAUGGAGGGGGAACCGGAAUUCUCGGUGUAGCAGUGAAAUGCGUAGAUAUCGAGAGGAACACUCGUGGCGAAGGCGGGUUCCUGGACAUUAACUGACGCUGAGGCACGAAGGCCAGGGGAGCGAAAGGGAUUAGAUACCCCUGUAGUCCUGGCAGUAAACGGUGCACGCUUGGUGUGCGGGGAAUCGACCCCCUGCGUGCCGGAGCUAACGCGUUAAGCGUGCCGCCUGGGGAGUACGGUCGCAAGAUUAAAACUCAAAGAAAUUGACGGGGACCCGCACAAGCGGUGGAGUAUGUGGCUUAAUUCGAUGCAACGCGAAGAACCUUACCUGGGCUUGACAUGUAAUGAACAACAUGUGAAAGCAUGCGACUCUUCGGAGGCGUUACACAGGUGCUGCAUGGCCGUCGUCAGCUCGUGUCGUGAGAUGUUUGGUUAAGUCCAGCAACGAGCGCAACCCCUGUUGCCAGUUACCAGCACGUGAAGGUGGGGACUCUGGCGAGACUGCCCAGAUCAACUGGGAGGAAGGUGGGGACGACGUCAGGUCAGUAUGGCCCUUAUGCCCAGGGCUGCACACGUACUACAAUGCCCAGUACAGAGGGGGCCGAAGCCGCGAGGCGGAGGAAAUCCUAAAAACUGGGCCCAGUUCGGACUGUAGGCUGCAACCCGCCUACACGAAGCCGGAAUCGCUAGUAAUGGCGCAUCAGCUACGGCGCCGUGAAUACGUUCCCGGGUCUUGUACACACCGCCCGUCACAUCAUGGAAGCCGGUCGCACCCGAAGUAUCUGAAGCCAACCGCAAGGAGGCAGGGUCCUAAGGUGAGACUGGUAACUGGGAUGAAGUCGUAACAAGGUAGCCGUAGGGGAACCUG